Long non-coding RNA from Condylura cristata (star-nosed mole), 255 nucleotides. RefSeq lists it as uncharacterized. The transcript has 3 exons. The record is from RefSeq and is a predicted model, not a curated record. Lineage: Eukaryota; Metazoa; Chordata; Mammalia; Eulipotyphla; Talpidae.
AGAGAGAGCUCAUUAGAGAGACUAGUGGGUGCCAUUCCCCAAGCUGGAUGACAGAACAAGUCAUGACCUUGUGUGGAGGAAAAUGAGAUCCCGAGUGAAGUCUACAAUGUCAUUGACUCUGAAGAAGGACUCAGAGACCCAUUGGUGUUUAAUGACCCUUACUGGCCUAUGCAAUGGGAACUGGAUCUCAACAUCUAAAAUCCUUGAAGUUGAGCUACUGUGUCUUUUUCUCCAUGUGAAUUACUUAUACACCCA